RNAcentral lists this ribosomal RNA (468 nucleotides) under uncultured bacterium. RNAcentral's name for it is "partial 16S ribosomal RNA". It matches the Rfam family "Bacterial small subunit ribosomal RNA", at positions 28 to 507 of the family's 1533-position model. The record is from RNAcentral.
GACGAACGCUGGCGGCGUGCUUAAUACAUGCAAGUCGAACGGACAGGCCCUGCUUUUGUGGGUUGCUCGAGUGGCGCACGGGGGAGUAACACGUGAGUAACCUGCCCCUGUCUUUGGGAUAACUUCAGGAAACUGGGGCUAAUACCGGAUAGAAUCUCCUGCUGCAUGUGGGGGGUUGGAAAGUUUCGGCGGUUUGGGAUGGUCUCGCGGCUUAUCGGCUUGUUGGGCGGGUUGUGGCUUACCAAGGGUUUGACGGGUAGCCGGCAUGAGAGAGUGACCGGCGACAUUGGGACUGAGAUACGGCCCAGACUCCUACGGGAGGCAGCAGUGGGGAAUAUUGCACAAUGGGCGGAAGCCAGAGGCAGCAACGUCGCGUGCGGAAUGACCGCCUUUGGGUUGUAAACAGAUUUCGCCUGUGAUGAAGCGUGCUUGACGGUACUGGGUAAAGAAGCACCGGCUAACUACGUG